AAAUUUCCUCGUUCUCCAGGUAGGUGCCUGAUAACUUAAAAUAUGAAAUAAAUUCCCUCGUUCUCCAGGUGGGUGCCUGAUGACUUAAAACACGAAAUAAAUUCCCCCGUUCUCCAGGUGGGCGCCUGAUGACUUAAAACUUGAAAUAAAUUCCCUUGUUCUCCAGGUGGGCGCCUGAUGACUUAAAACUUGAAAUAAAUUCCCUCGUUCUCCAGGUGGGCGCGUGAUGAUUUAAAAUUUGAAAUAAAUUCCCUCGUUCUCUAGGCGGGCACCUGAUGACUUAAAACUUGA
RNAcentral lists this long non-coding RNA (291 nucleotides) under Nicotiana tabacum (common tobacco). RNAcentral describes it as "long non-coding RNA (NTAB_LNC019396)". The record is from RNAcentral. Lineage: Eukaryota; Viridiplantae; Streptophyta; Magnoliopsida; Solanales; Solanaceae.